AGUGAACGCUGGCGGUAGGCCUAACACAUGCAAGUCGAACGGCAGCACAGUAAGAGCUUGCUCUUACGGGUGGCGAGUGGCGGACGGGUGAGGAAUACAUCGGAAUCUACUUUUUCGGGGGGGAUAACGUAGGGAAACUUACGCUAAUACCGCAUACGACCUACGGGUGAAAGCAGGGGAUCUUCGGACCUUGCGCGAUUGAAUGAGCCGAUGUCGGAUUAGCUAGUUGGCGAGGUAAAGGCCCACCAAGGCGACGAUCCGUAGCUGGUCUGAGAGGAUGAUCAGCCACACUGGAACUGAGACACGGUCCAGACUCCUACGGGAGGCAGCAGUGGGGAAUAUUGGACAAUGGGCGCAAGCCUGAUCCAGCCAUACCGCGUGGGUGAAGAAGGCCUUCGGGUUGUAAAGCCCUUUUGUUGGGAAAGAAAAGCAGCAGGUUAAUACCCCGCUGUUCUGACGGUACCCAAAGAAUAAGCACCGGCUAACUUCGUG
This 492-nucleotide ribosomal RNA is filed under the name uncultured bacterium. RNAcentral's name for it is "partial 16S ribosomal RNA". It matches the Rfam family "Bacterial small subunit ribosomal RNA", at positions 29 to 507 of the family's 1533-position model. The record is from RNAcentral.